This 2214-nucleotide long non-coding RNA is filed under the name Mus musculus (house mouse). Its description in RNAcentral is "long non-coding RNA chr5:121593694-121595908". Lineage: Eukaryota; Metazoa; Chordata; Mammalia; Rodentia; Muridae. The record is from RNAcentral.
GGCUCCCAAAGCCAAGUCAGAGAUGGAGUUUGCAGAACCCUGAGAAAGCCUAGCCAGAGUGGUGUGCGCUCCUAGCAGGGUGGCUGGCGCCUAAGGCUCACAUCUGUGCAGAUAUGGCGGCGAAGAGAAUUCAUGAAUGCGGUUAUUCCAUGAACAGCCUGGGACUGGGCACUUGAGGUGCAGGACGUCAUUGGCUAGAAAGAGACGUGGACGCCUGGUCACUUGUGUGCCUUUCAACCAGGUGAACGCAUCACUAGGCUAAGGAGAUGGUGAGAAUCUUGGCAGGGGCUUCUGGGUAGUGCAAAGAGAAGUGUUUUGAAACCCAGGAGCCCCAAACUGGGUGGAGCCCUUGGAAGCUGAGGCCCAGCCUGUUUCUGAAGCACCCAGAAGGAGGAGACUGCUGUGUAUGAGCAUCGCCCUGCUUUGGUGACUCGAAGGAUAUUGUCACCCGCGCUGUAAUAGCCAGUGACCAGACAAGGUGUCUGGGCGCGUUUCCUCGUGUGCCUCUCAUUUUAGCACCGGACAGCUGAAGUUGUUCCGGACUCCGCACCGUUAGCACAAAACAUGAGGAAAAAAGCAUUUAAGGACCUCACAGGCUGGUCACAUGACCCACCGUAGGUGCAAAGGAAUCUGGGAAACUGAGAACGCUGUUGGGAGAAAUUAAAAAGGAGCCACUGAGCAGACUUCCAGAUUCCCCCCGGGGGUCUGCACAUACAGAAAUCCAAAAGAUAUGCUCGAAUUUCAUAUCUCCCUGGAGACUGUGCAGCUCUGUAUUAGUCAAUCAGGUCAGAAUGAAAGCUUGGCUCAGAGAGACACACAGGACCCCUUUGUUUUCAGAAUUAAAAAAGAAAAACAGCAGAAAAAUGGGUCUGGGUCUUUAAUCUCAGCAUUCAGGAAGUAUUUAUUUUAUGUUUAUGAGUACACUGUAGCUGUACUGAUGGUUGUGAGCGAUCAUGUGGUUGCUGGGAAUUUGAAUUCAGGACUUCUGCUUGCUUGCUCAGGUCGGCCCCGCUGGCUUCAGUCUAAAGAUUUAUUUAUUAUAUAUCUAAGAACACUGUAGCUUUCUUCAGACACACAGAGGAUGUCAGAUCUCAUUACUGAUGGUUGUGAGCCACCAUGUGGUUGCUGAGAUUUGAACUCAGGACCUUUUGAAAAGCAGUCAGUGCUCUUAACCUCUGAGCCAUUUCUCCAGCCCUAGCAUUCAGGAAGUAGAAGCAAGCAAAUCUCUAGAAAGCUCGAGGCCAGCCUGGUGGUCUACAUAUGAGUUCCGGCUAGCCAUCAAUAUAUACAUACAUACAUAUAUAUAUGUAUAUAUAUAUAUCCCUUCAAAAGUUUCACCUGCAGGGGCCCUCUGGGUGUGUUUGCUUGUUCUGCGUGGCAAUUCGCCCUUGUGCAGAAGUAAACCAUUUUGCCUUGCCAAAUGUGGAUCGUGAAUCUCCACACCCAUUUCCUGCAGGAAGGUGUCCCCAUUCACUGUUUGUAAAAGGGCUACUUGCUGUCUCAUUGACUACAGGCCCAUUACCAUUUAAAGAAUUUUCUAUGGGUGACAUUUAGGUGGCUUCCAAUCUUGGGGGACUACAAAUAAUGCCCCGGUUUGUAGAGCCACUAAGUCAUGGGACAUUUCCUAAUUAAAUACUGAUAGUGCUAUAUACAGGCUCCUCCUCCAUUUAUGAUUGGGUGUGGCCUUUAACUCUUCUCAGGUUGGAAGUAUCACAAAUCAAGAAUGUGUUGAAAGUCUACUUUCGGGCUGAAGAGAUGGCUCAGCUGUUAAGAGCACCGACUGCUUUUCCAGGGGUCCCCAGUUCAAUUUUCAGCAACUACAUGGUGGCUCAGAACCAUCUGAUGCCCUCUUCUGGUGUGCCUGAAGACAACGGCAGUGCACUCAUAUACAUAAAAUUAAAAAAAAAAAAACCUAAAACAAACAAAAAAAGACUUUUAAGAAAGUCUACUUUCUCGUGGUACCUGCCCUGUAACAUCAGCAUUCAGGAAGUGGAGUCAGGAGGAUCAGGAGUUGAAGGUCAACCUGAGCUACAUAAAGAGUUCUAGGCUAGUCUGGGCUACAGGAGACUCUAUUUCAAACAAACAAAUUACUUCCACACCCCUACCACAGAACACAGCUUAUCUAUUGUCACUGCCGUGCUGUAAAUCCUACUUAUCAAAAGUCAGUAAAAAGACUGGGUAGGAUGGGACCCCAGUGUCGGACAGUGCCACCGC